Rosa chinensis is the source of this 299-nucleotide long non-coding RNA. RefSeq lists it as uncharacterized. The record is from RefSeq and is a predicted model, not a curated record. Lineage: Eukaryota; Viridiplantae; Streptophyta; Magnoliopsida; Rosales; Rosaceae. The transcript has 2 exons.
GGUUUGAGAAAAAUCAAAACUUUGUUUUCUGAGGUGUUAAUCGAGCAGGGAUGUACCAAUUAUGCAGGGCUGCAGGCAGAUUCUAAGUGUGAACCUCAAUGAUACCAAGUCUGAAUGGAAGACAAUAUGCUUAAUUAGAUAAAUUCAUAGAAAUUGUAUUAAUAAUUUGCUUUCGUUCUAAGUUGUAAUUUGUAAAUUGGGACACUUUGUAUUCUGUCUUUUUAUUUUAGUACAUUAAAACGGGCGUGGGGAUGAGCCUCCUAGUUCGGCUAGGUUCCAAACCCCUUAAAAUUUUAAAA